AAGCUGUCAUAAUAUCUUUUUAAAUCUGAGUGUGGGAGUCCCACUACAAUUUCAGUCCCACUUUUUUCUAAAGGUCGAAGUCUUUUCACGGGCAAGCCCUAAUUUUUAUGUGAGUCUUCUUCACUCUCGUUCCAAGUUCGUAACUGUCAUUGAACGUUCUUCACUCUCGUUCCAAGUUCAUCACUGUUAUUCAAGUUCUUCACCGUCAUUUAUCCCCAUCCGUAAAUUCUCUUUUCCCCGUUCAUCAUUUGUGGUGAUGAAGUCACCAAAGAGGAGUUCUACCGUCAUCGUGAAGCAUGGGGUAAGAAUAUAAGCAAUCCAUACUAAACAUAGUACAUACUAGUUUGAAGGAUAGGAUGAAAUCGUGGAGAGAGGCACAGCAAAUCGCAACCUGGUUGGGGUUUAGGGUUCGAUUCGGUGCUUGCAAUCCCUAAAUCCUCUCUUCCGCAGACCAAGCCAUCAAAGUGGUAAUGAUGCUCAGCUAUCCAAGAGAAGUGGUAGUGCUUUACGAACUUCUUUAUGCUUGUCUAUCAGAUUUAAGCGAAAAUCACAAGAAACAUGGUCGGAGGCUUCUGGAAGGUUCCUCGUCGCCGCUUAUGCCGAUUUGGAUGCGCCCAACCUCCACUGGGAGAAGAUGGCUCUGUGUCCCAUUCCUCGCCUUGACGGAGCCGCCAUUUAACUUCGCGAUCUCCUAUCAUCUUCCCCGGUUACACCAACAUCGUUUAUUUUCAGGUGCAUUCUCGUGUUGAUGUGUACAAUUUUAAUGAUAAUACUUGGAGAAGGAGAUUCGACAUGCCGAAAGAGAUGGCGCACUCGCAUUUGGGAAUGGUGACCGAUGGUAGAUACAUUUAUGUCGUCACUGGACAGUAUGGCCCGCAUUGUAGAGGUUCCACUGCUCGUACGUUUAUGCUCGACUCUGAAACUAGAAAAUGGAAGGACCUACCUCCUUUGCCAGUACCUAGGUGUUGCCCACUACUGUCUUAGUUGUUAUGUAUGCAAAGAAAAGGAGAAAAUUUGGUUUUGUUGUACAAUCCAAAGGUAGAAACAACACUAAGAAGACACAAUAACAAGAGCAGAAAACAGAGAAAAAUUCUCAAGUCACCGCUAGAGCCGCAACCUGAAGUCGUAGAACCAGAGAUUGAUUUUGAGACUUCACCAUUUGAGUUAAGUGUUGAGUUACAAAGAAGAGAGGGGUCUAUGAGAGAGUUUUCUAGAGGUCCUUGGAGAAAGGUGUUUCCCAGAUUCGUGGAGGAGGUUUCAAGACUUGCAUAGGAGGUCUCAAGAGGUAGGAGAGUUAAUCCAUGUCUUUUACCUUGUGAAGGAUUUGUAUGAAUUGGAGGAAUGGUUUUGAGCACAUGAUGAGCAUGUUGGAGUUAUCCUUGCUUUUUGGUUUUCUAUUUGAACCUAUGGAUAUGCUAUUAUCAAUAUGAUAAGGGAGAUAAUCAAAUAUUGGGUUGAGAAUUCUGAAUAUAAAAGAAGUUUGAAGGUAAGGUUGUAGGGGAGCCAAACUACGUUCUUGUUUUAAUGCAAAAUGUGUAUAUGCUUUGAUUGGUGAAAGUUUGCUCUAUAUUAUGAUGAAUCUGUGAUUUUGAUGUGAUUGACAUGAUGAUGAGUUGUAGUUAUGGAUUUAUUAAUAAUCAUGAGUUGAUAUUUAUGAUGGAUUUUCGUAUGUAUGAUUUGGUAAGUGGUGUGAGGAUUUAAGAUGGAUUGAAAUCUGGAAAUUUUUUAUUUGGCCAAGUCUUUCACUAUGUGCAAACAUCAAAUAUUUUGGAUGGAUGAUCAUAUGAGAAAGAUGAUUUCCUAGUUGGUAAGAGAUGACUAAUGGAAAUUACUCCUCGCUUUGUUUUUCUAAGUUUAGAGUUUGGUGUGAUAUGAGUAUGGAGUUAAUAAUGAGACUAAGUAUGAGAUUAUUAUUGGAUGACCGAGAAUAUGUUGAAUCUAUGUUGAAUCUAAGUUGUGGUGAUUUUGGAAUGACAAGUGUGUUAUGAAAAUAAUGUUGGAUGAAAUUAAUAAGGAAUUUAACAUGGUGAUGUUAGGUAUAUGCUCGAAGAGUAGAGUUAGAGUAAAGUGUAUUGCAUAAACUUGACGUUGUUGAUUUUUAAAUGAUCAUGAUGAUGUGAUUUGUGAUAAAAAGAUUUGUGAUAAAAAUGUUUUGAACAUUUUUAUGAAAUAGAACUUGGUUUCAAAAUGUUUGAAGAAGGUGAUUUUCAAAAACCAUAGAGUUUUAUGACUUAUGUAGUGUUGGAAAUCAUUUUUGGUCAAAAUAUGAUGAAAUAAUCAAUGAUAUGAUAUGUUAAUCGAUUAUGAUGCAAUAAUAAUAGAUUAUCAUCAUCCAUAAUUGAUUAUUAUGCUAAGAUAAUCGAUUAGCAUCACAAAUAAUCGAUUAUACUUGCUUCUAGAUGAAGUUUUUAUGUUUGGAAAUGAUCUAGUACAUGUUCUUAGGUUAUGAAUGGUAUGUAUUGGCUAAGAAUGGAUGGUGUUUAGUACCCGUGGUUGGAUUAUUGACUUGAAGUUAUAAUGACGUUAGAUAUGGGAUGUAUUAAUGAAAAAUUAAGUUUGGAUGCAAGCAAUUGCUAUUAUUAUGAUUGUUUCUGCAUGUUGGCAGAAUGUGUGUUCCUAGUUAUGUGAGGCAGUGGGAAAGAGAUUUCUAUUCUUCACCUAUGUGAGGUAGUGGGAGAGCAAUGACUCGAGUUUGGCACUUUCUUGCCUGUGUGAGAUAGUGGGGAAGAAUAUUUGGUUGACCCGAACCACCUAGUCUCAAGAAGAAAGAGUGAGAUGUGAAACUAAUAGUUAUGAGAGAAGUACAUAAUAGUUCGAGAAUUAUCAAAACGAGGGUAAUGCAAGGAAGAGAUCAUAAGAUUGGAAUAGGUAGAGAGUACUUAAGUAGAGAAAUAGAGAGAUAAUGAUCUUAUGAGUAACAUGGAGAUGGAUGAACUUGUACUGUUGUAUGAGUAGUAUGGGUGAGUUUGAUUAUUUGAUAUUCAUCUUGUGUUGAUGAUUUAGUUCACCUACUUGUUUGUCUUUGUGUUUGUGUUUGUUUUCUUGCAAGAAUCGUAUAACUCGUGUUGUUAUACAGGAGCAGAUGAAGUAGGAGUUGUUUAAAGUAAGGAGUGCGUUGGGAAACUGUUAGGAUUUCAAACUAUAUUAUGAAUAAUAUUGCCCAUGAGUUGUAUUCUAAACUUACUUUCAUUUUUAUUUCUAAAUAAACUUUAUGAUUGUAAGGUUUUAAUUUUUACUAGAUUCAUCUUGUGUUGAUGACUCAGUUCACCUACUUGUUUGUCUUUGUGUUUGUGCUUGUGUUCUUGCAGGAUCGUAUAACUCGUGUUUUUAUACGAGAGCGGAUGAAGUAGGAGUGCGUUGGGAAAUUGUUGGGAUUUCAGACUGUAUUAGGCAAAAUAUUGCCCAUGAGUUGUAUUCUAAACUUACUUUCAGUUUUAUUUCUAAAUAAACUUUAUGAUUGUAAGGUUUUAAUUUUUACUAGAUUCAAUAAUCGUAUCAGAAGUUAUUUUCC
This is a long non-coding RNA of Vigna angularis (adzuki bean), 3511 nucleotides long. RefSeq lists it as uncharacterized. Lineage: Eukaryota; Viridiplantae; Streptophyta; Magnoliopsida; Fabales; Fabaceae. The transcript is spliced from 4 exons. The record is from RefSeq and is a predicted model, not a curated record.